UUGGACGCCCCCCCCUCUCCCAUCUUCUUCCUCCUCAAACAUUUGCAGCCCUCACCACCCAAAACCCUAGCUGCCCCCCCCCAUUUCUUCCCCUCCUCCCAAGGUGCAGCCCUCCCGUGUGGUUCUCCGUCGUGUGGCUGCGAUCUCAAUUGGAGUUUGGAGGGAGGAAGAAGGAAGGAGUAAGGGAAGAACCUAAGGUGAAUUUGUGAUUAACUUUUGUUGUUUUUGUGCUGCAAUCAAUUGGAUUAUGUGUUUAUCUUUGCGAAUCGGUAGAGGUGCUGUCCAGGAAUUUUGUGAGUGGGUGAACAGCAGUAGUUCUAGGGAUUUCUGGGAAUUUUCGUGGGGUAAUUAGUGGGAAUCAGUGGGAUAAUCAUGUAGAGCUUUGUCAUACCUUUCCAACGAGUACUUAUGCGCUCGAUUCGGAGUUAUAAUUUAGGAGAUAUCGUCGUUUGAAUCCGGGUAUGUUGCUGUCCAAAAAAACAGAUUUUUCAGGUGGGUGAACAGCAGUAGUAUUAGCAGUUUCUGGGAAUUUUCGUGGGGUAAUUAGUGGGAAUCAGUGGGAUAAUCAUGUAGAGCUUUGUCAUACCUUUCCAACGAGUACUUAUGCGCUCGAUUCGGAGUUAUAAUUUAGGAGAUAUCGUCGUUUGAAUCCGGGUAUGUUGCUGUCCAAAAAAACAGAUUUUUCAGGUGGGUGAACAGCAGUAGUAUUAGCAGUUUCUGGGAAUUUUUCGUGGUUAAUUAGUGCUAACCAGUAUGAUAAUCAUGUAUGGCUUUGUCUUAUCUUUCCAAUGAGUACUUAUGCGCUUGAAUUGGAAUUAUAUUUUAAAAGAUAUCGCUGUUUGAAUCCGGGUAUGUCGCUGUCCAAAAGAGAAAAAAAACAGAUUACAGGGUUCAACUUGUGAACUGUUUUGGGCUAAUUAGAUGUUGGAAUUUAAUUAUAAAUUGUAUACAAAACUUGUGGGGAAUUUUAUGUAGAUGCCUCUGGAGUUUUUGUUUGUUACCAAUGCUGUCAUAAUUUUGAAGUUAUGAAAUUAUUAAGCAGCGCCGCUACAGUUUGGUGGGUGUGGGGAGAGAUGUAACCCGUGGCGGGGUUUGAGUUUGUGCGUAGGUGCGGCGUCGUUUAUGAGCCUGGUUAUGUGAAAUUGGUGCACUAAGUUGUGUGUCAAAAACAGGUGGUGGACUUCCGGAUCGUACUUAGGGAUUUGCCCGAACUUCCGGUAAAGGCAAGUAAAUAUAGUGGUGGUUGCUACCGUUUGGUUUGCAUCCUAUUCCCUGUCAUUGAGUAUGCAUAAGUUUUUAAUUAUGUUAAUCAUUGAAUUCUAUGAUGAAGUUUAUUUGUUUGGAAGUAUUAAUUCUCAAUUGUCUAAUAUUGUGGAUGAUCAUAAUUUGGUUAUGAUAUAUGUGGUUGAUUCCCAUCUUGGAUGAAGUUGAAGUGUCUUUUUGAAUCACGUUAUAUGAAGUGUUGUAGGCAUGACAUGCACAUCGCAUCAUCCAUCUUGCAUUUUGAAGUUAUGUCGUGAUCUUAUGGUCCGACCGUACCGGUACAUUUUUAGCAUCGUAUGUUGCCCGAGGAGGGGUACGAUGCGGCUUCAUAUCCUUAGAGGUAUGAAGGCAGAAGUCAUCCUUGCAUUUGCAGACAUUUGCAUUCAUGAGGAAUAUAUGAAGUGUGACAUUACUAUGUUACUAUUGUGGUUUCUACCUGCGAGGUGUGGUAACUAGGUGUGUUGUACGUUGUAUACGUGCUGCAUCUUGGUAAUAAGAAGGUUGUGGAAUCAGGUGGUGGUAAAACAAUGUUCUUAUGUGGUUGAAUAGUUUGAUAAUAUUUUACUUGCUGAGAUAUGUCAUCUCACUCUUGCAUUACUCAAUGCAGGUACUUGAUACAUGUUGGGAAUGAGGGGAGUAGCAGCACGUCCACUUACACUCUCACAAUAACGCUGCCCAGGCGCAGCCAUGAUUUAAUUAGAAACUUAUUGUCAAAGGAAGUUUGUUUUUUAUAUAGUCGUGCACACUGAUUAAUUCAGUUCAGGUCGUACGUUUAUCUUCCCUUGCUAGCCGAUUAAUAAUACUUAGUAUGUUUUUGGACAUGAUAUAUGUUUAUAACCUGUUGCCCCCUUAUUUAUGCAAUCUUGCAAAGGGGAUGCUGCCGAAAUUUUAUAUAUGGACGUCAGAAGUGUAGUUCAGUAGCAUUCUGGGUUGUUUGUGGAACCUGGGGUGUUACAGUUGGUAUCAGAGGAUAGGCUUUAGAUUCUACGCAAUUUGAAGAUAAAUUUGACACACUUGCACAUAUAGGAAGGGUAUGGGUUCAUAUAUCUUCCAUAUUAGUAUUUUAUUGUAUAGAUGACUAGAAUUUCCUUACUCCAAACCCCUUUAUGGUUUGAUGAGGUAUGUCGUUAACGACGUAAUGCUUGAUAUGAAAUGUUACUUCUAUUUAAUAUUGAUUUCUUGAUGUGGUUGUUAUUGAAAUUAUUAUGCGAGUGAAGCUACUAAUGUACUUGUUUUAUAUACAUAUCGUCAUGAUGUUUUUUGGGAUGCAAUGUUUACUAAUCUCUGAGCUAUUACCAUCAUAUAUUUCUAUAUGCUUGACUGUGGAUGUUUUUUUUCCAAAAGGAUUCUUGGGUUCUAGUACUUGUAGGACCGAUUGUUUAUUGAGCUUGUGUAUAGAGGAUCUAAUCCGACUUGGUGUAGCGUGAAAACACUAUACAAUGGAGUUUUAUGGUGUUGUUGAGUUUGAUUGACUGUUGGGUUACAACCCAACUUAUCAAUGUAAUAUUUCCAUGGGUGCAGUGCUUUACACCUCACCUUUUUUUGGCUAGUGUGGCUACUUGCCAACUUGAUCUUAGAGUACAAUAGGUUUGUCUCCAUAGAGCAAAGGCAAUGUUGUACUGUCUAUGAAAUCUUGAGACUAGAAGAACUCAAGUGAAUUUUGCAAGAUGACGUGGGUAGAUAAGUCCAACCAUGUUUACAUGAUAGGUUUUCUUAUUGUGUGCAACCUUAUCUUUAAUAAUAAAUAGGGUGAUUUCAAGUGGAUUUUAUGUCUAUAUUAUAGUUGAAGAGGCAUGCAUAUUUUCCUUCUAUGGUUUGUUUCUAUAGCCAAAAAGGUUAUGCAUAAUUUUUGUUUGUUGGAGGCUAGUCAUGCGGACGAUAUGGACAACCCGUUUUAUAUUGUUUUAAUCGCCGAUGAUACAUGGUAGUUUUUUUUAUAUGAUCAGUUCUCUAUGCAUGCUUGUGGAAUUAUUAUUUGGACCGCUUUAUCUUAAACAAAGUCAAUGUUUAACUGGAAGUUGCUUAUGUUUGUUAGUCAUCUAUCUCUAUAAUGAUGUGGUUGUUGCAUUAGAUGGAGAUUUUUAUUAUAUGAAUGAUGGUUUGAUAGAUCAUGUAUGUCUACUACUUUGAAUUCAUCCUAUGACAUCACUAGGUACAAAUUGUUCAAGUGCAAUAAUAGGAGGUAUUGUUGUAUGUGAGGUUAAUCAAAGUAGUUGGGUUAGGUGGAUUAUCUUAUUGAAGUCCAAUUACUCCUGUUGAGCAUAGUAUCGUGUUAUUAUUAAGUGUUGAAAGUAAUAUUUAUGAAGCUUUUGCAUGAGUCUGUGUCAAGAAGUACAUUAGUUUUUUUUCUUGUUGUUAUCCCUCCAUUGCUUUAUGAGUAUUGCAAAUUUUAUCUCUUUUGAGAGGGGGAAAAGAUGUUAUAUGACAUGAGCACCAUUUGCUUCACGUCAACAGAAUAGUUUUGGAGAUUUCUAGUAGUUGGAUUCUAGUGUAAUAACAACCAUGUUUUAUAGAGCUAGAGACGGGUAUGUCAGGUGUUUCAUACAUUGUCGGUACAUGUAUGUUUGGCCUUAGUGGCAUUAACAAACGAGGUUGUUGAAUUCAUUGAUUGUUGUGCUUAGUGUUCUAACCUAUUUGGUAGAGUGUUAUUUAAAGACUUUGUGGAGUUGCAUCCCAGUUUGGUAGUGGAAAAUCCUAGUGUUGAUGGCACCUGCCAAUGACUUGGGUUUCAUUUUAUAUUGUUUUUUUUAUUAUUGUUGAUAAUGUGUUGUUUGGUUUUGGGAGGCAUUUUAAAUUAGUUGGAGGCUGAAUCAGGCUUCACUUAUCUAGAAUGUUUUGUAGUAUGUUUCUGCAUCUUUCCAUAGGAUGCUUAAUCACCAUGUUUGGUCUAAACAUUUGAGAGAUAUGGGUUUCUUAAAACAUCUUUGUUGGUGUCUCUAGCAGAGUGAGUCUUUAAUUUUGUACGGAAGAGUAGACAUUGAAGACGGUAUAAUUUGGUCUUUGUGGAUUAUGAAAGUUUUAGUAAUUUCAUGAUCUUUUCAAAGAGUAUGGGUUUCUAAUUCUCAUUGCAUAUAAUUGGAGUUAGGUUGCUCUGAAGUUGUUGCACUGUUGUGUCUGAACUUUAGGCGUCGUUUUAGUCACCAAUAAAUCGACCGCGUUUUGAUAGUUGCAGAGCACAAAUUUGCGAAUUCUCUUUAAGCAAAACUUGUAGGUAUUUUCAGUACCUUUUUAAUGGGUAUUUACUUGUAACUGUCUGUUAAAUAGAUUUGGAGAGGUGGUUGCCCGGAUAUAAGUCGAAUCUCUAAUGUGCAGUAUCUCAGGCUGAGUUUAGCUGUAGGUCAUGCAGAGUUGUGGGCUAUAAGGAUAAAUUUGGGUGCAACUUUAUUGCAAAAGUCGUGGACAAUUUUCAAAACUUUUCCAACGCGUGUUCGUUGUAGUUUAAGUUGAGUAUAGCAGGAGUUAUAGGUUUUUGAAUUUUAGUUGUCCAUUGUUUCAAUCUUAUCAGUUUUGAAACAAAAGAGUUGCAUUGUUUUAUCGGUUUGGAAACCAAUUCCGAGACACUCAUUAUAAUAAAAGUUCUAGGGAAUGUUAUAAUCUUUUCAGUGAGUUUAUAUUUGCAAAAUUUUGUUAGCUGCAGGGAGUUAUGAUAUCAUGUAUAGAAUGUGCUUGGAUGAAUGUGUGGGCAGACAUAACAUGCUUAAAUUGAUUCUUGUUUGCAUGAUGUGAGAUUAGGCUUAAAUGAUUUAAAAGGUUAUCAUAUUGCUUCUAUACUUAUAUUUGUUCUAGGUGUCUCGUAAUGAAGAACCUAAAGUAAUUAGCCUUUCAAUGAACGCUUAAUCUUAGAAGAGUGAUGAAUCUGAUAAAAUCUAUUGCUUGCUAUUGGGACUGCAUGACCAGUUUUAGUUAUGCAGCUAGUUCAGUGAAGUAAACCAACUUUUCUGUAGAGAUGUUAUAUAUAAAAGUUGUAGCCAACUUCUUUAUCUUACUUGUGUAAAAAUUUCAUGACCAUAGGUCUAGUAGUUUGGGAGUUAUGAUUUUCUCAAGUCUAGUCUUGGAAUCUAUUCAGAUUCUGUACAGAUUUUGAAACUGACCUUGUUUGCCCAAGUUAAACUUUGAAUCAGUUCUUAUAAAUUAUAAAGAAGUGGAGUACUUUCCUUAAGAUUUCCAACAAAUAUUGGAUCACCCUUUUUGGUGACCUAUAAGUUAAGCUACAACUGUUUUAAGUGGAAUCUUUGAAUCUGUCCAAAUGUGGACAGCAAAGCCUUUCUUAUGUCUUUUGACCUUGAUAUGCAUUGAAUUAACCUGAUAUGUUUAUAAAUGAAAUAUAGACAAUUUUACUGGCUUUCAAAAAAGUCUAGGAGCGCCUAAAUUGGAUGACUGAGACUCCAAUUAUGGAUUUUUUUUAAGUGAGUAGUUGAAUUCUGUCCAAGUCUGGACAAAAUUUACGUUUCGCAUUGUUUGUCCUUUCUAAGUGUCAAAUCUUGUGGUGAUGAUAGUACCAAGGGUAUAGUGGACUUUGUAAGCUUUCCAUAAAGUCCUAGGUUACUACUGUUGGAUGCAUAUUUUGUGAGUUUAUGAGCAAAACAAUUAACCGUUGUGCUGUUGUCUAGAAAUAUGCAAGCAUUAAAUUGAUCUUUUGGAGUUACUCUUGUUUGGAUAGGUUUGGUUUAGGCUAUUGGAGCACAGUAUGUAUUGCUUUCAUUAUAUAUAUUCAUUGAAGUACUUGCAUGUGUCAAUGUUGAUUUGGUGUCAGGAAAACUUUGUCCGGGUUAUAUAGGACUGUCUAUUAUCUUAGCCCGAGUUGGCAGCUUGGCUUAGCACAUGCAAUUGUCGGAGUCUAUGAUCAGAGUACGCCAUGUAUUCCAUGUCUCUAUGUUGAGAAAGUAUUUGCGGAAUCCAUAUCAAUAAUCGAGCUAGAGUCGAUUCCCAUGUAGCAAGACCUGACUCUAGAGUGUCGUCUGCUGCGUAUCCUAGAAUCCUUGAAGCUCGAGGAGCUGAUGCGGCAGAAGUACCCCGAACUUUUCGUUAUGGGGUGAGUUUUUGUUGUCGCUGAUCUUUCCUUGUCGUUCCGAUAGGAGCGUCGGAAUUCGAGGUCGAAUUCUUUUUAAGGGGGGUAGAGUGUGAUACCCGGUUUGCAAAGAAGAGAAGUUGAAGGUUAUUCUUUUUGUUUGUUUUUUCUCUUAUUCGGGUGUCGCGCUUUGGGGAUUUAGAAUUUGUGGAAAACAUUCACCAGUAUAGCAGUAGAGUGGUUGGUCGGGAGCUGUCGUGCAAGCGAGUUGGGCCGCGAAUCGCAAUUCGGCCCACUAACCCUCCCCUAACCCUAGCCGCCCCCCCCCCUUUUUCCCCCUUGUGUUGUUGCAGCCGCCGCUUCCCCUCCCCUUUCUCUUGGACGCCCCCCCCCCUCUCCCAUCUUCUUCCUCCUCAAACAUUUGCAGCCCUCACCACCCAAAACCCUAGCUGCCCCCCCAUUUCUUCCCCUCCUCCCAAGGUGCAGCCCUCCCGUGUGGUUCUCCGUCGUGUGGCUGCGAUCUCAAUUGGAGUUUGGAGGGAGGAAGAAGGAAGGAGUAAGGGAAGAACCUAAGGUGAAUUUGUGAUUAACUUUUGUUGUUUUUGUGCUGCAAUCAAUUGGAUUAUGUGUUUAUCUUUGCGAAUCGGUA
RNAcentral lists this long non-coding RNA (6920 nucleotides) under Zea mays. RNAcentral describes it as "long non-coding RNA (ZMAY_LNC005420)". The record is from RNAcentral. Lineage: Eukaryota; Viridiplantae; Streptophyta; Magnoliopsida; Poales; Poaceae.